UCAACAGAAUUCAUCUGCAAGACAGCUGGUUAGGGGUGCAAUCUAUGGGUAAAACAACUCAAGCCUUAGAAAGUGAACUCCUGACCUCAUUAACUCCAUCCUUUAAGUAAAUGAAGCAGAUGGGUCACAGACAGAAUGGAGCCAAUAAUCUUCACUGACCAUCCUAUAAUAUACUUACUCUGUUUCGAUGAGCAUUGAUUGAUGCAUACCGGACUGUUCCUCGAAAUCCUGCCACAGCACGAGGCUAGAACAUAAACAAUAGAAAAACAUAGCAGUUGCAAGCCGUGAAGAUUUGGUUCUGGUAUGAUUGUGGAGCUAAUGAACUGAAAAGAAUGAGAGCUCCUUGUGGGUUGGGACCAUGCUUUUGCCUUUCUUCAUAACCUAAGUAAGUACUUAGUAUAGUUAUAGUGCCUGACAUAUAGCAAAUGCUUCAACAUGCUUGCUGACUGACUACCCCUAUGUUAGUAGACCAUUAGUAUAUAAAAAAGGGAUGGAAGAAACAUUCCACUCAUAUUCCUCUCACCCCUCUUUAUUUAAAAUGUCCCCAAAUUCCAAAGUUUAGA
Antechinus flavipes (yellow-footed antechinus) is the source of this 563-nucleotide long non-coding RNA. RefSeq lists it as uncharacterized. The record is from RefSeq and is a predicted model, not a curated record. The transcript is spliced from 3 exons. Lineage: Eukaryota; Metazoa; Chordata; Mammalia; Dasyuromorphia; Dasyuridae.